AUUGAACGCUGGCGGCAUGCUUUACACAUGCAAGUCGAACGGCAGCGCGGGCUUCGGCCUGGCGGCGAGUGGCGAACGGGUGAGUAAUGCAUCGGAACGUGCCCAGUAGUGGGGGAUAGCCCGGCGAAAGCCGGAUUAAUACCGCAUACGACCUGAGGGUGAAAGCGGGGGACCGAAAGGCCUCGCGCUAUUGGUGCGGCCGAUGUCGGAUUAGCUAGUUGGUGGGGUAAAGGCUUACCAAGGCGACGAUCCGUAGCUGGUCUGAGAGGACGACCAGCCACACUGGGACUGAGACACGGCCCAGACUCCUACGGGAGGCAGCAGUGGGGAAUUUUGGACAAUGGGGGCAACCCUGAUCCAGCCAUGCCGCGUGCGGGAAGAAGGCCUUCGGGUUGUAAACCGCUUUUGUUCGGGAAGAAAUCCUCUGGGCUAAUACCCCGGGGGGAUGACGGUACCGGAAGAAUAAGCACCGGCUAACUACGUG
This 484-nucleotide ribosomal RNA is filed under the name uncultured bacterium. RNAcentral's name for it is "partial 16S ribosomal RNA". It matches the Rfam family "Bacterial small subunit ribosomal RNA", at positions 28 to 507 of the family's 1533-position model. The record is from RNAcentral.